RNAcentral lists this ribosomal RNA (486 nucleotides) under uncultured bacterium. Its description in RNAcentral is "partial 16S ribosomal RNA". It matches the Rfam family "Bacterial small subunit ribosomal RNA", at positions 28 to 507 of the family's 1533-position model. The record is from RNAcentral.
GAUGAACGCUGGCGGCGUGCUUAACACAUGCAAGUCGAACGAUGAAGCCCAGCUUUCUGGGUGCUUUAGUUGCGAACGGGCGAGUAACACACGAGUAACCAGCCCUUCUCUCUGGGUUAAGCCUGUGCAACUGGGUCGAAUACUUGAUAUGACUUCUCAUCGCAUGGUUGGGGGUGGAAAGAAUUAUUGGUUUUGGAUGGCCUCGCGGUGCAUCAGCUAGUUGGUGAGGUAACGGCUCACCAAGGCGACGACGCGUAACCGACCUGAGAGGGUGACCGGCCACACUGGAACUGAGACACGGUCCAGAGGCCUACGGGAGGCAGCAGUAGCGAAUCGGGCGCAAUGGGGGAAAGACUGACGGAGCAACGCCGCGUGAGUGAUGAAGGUCCUCGGAGCGGGAAACUCGGUUAUUAGGGAAGAACAUAUGUGUAAGUAGCAGGGCACAGCUUGACGGUACCUAAGCAGAAAGCCACGGCUAACUACGUG